UGGACUCUGGGAUAGCCACCGGAGACGGUGGUUAAUACCGGAGAUGACCACUCUAGGCAUCGGGGGGUGGUGGAAAGUUUUUCGGUCCAGGAUGUGCUCGCGGCCUAUCGGCUUGUUGGUGAGGUAAUGGCUCACCAAGGCUUUGACGGGUAGCCGGCCUGAGAGGGUGACCGGUCACACUGGGACUGAGACACGGCCCACACUCCUACGGGAGGCAGCAGUGGGGAAUAUUGGACAAUGGGCGGAAGCCUGAUCCAGCAACGCCGCGUGAGGGAUGACGGCCUUCUGGUUGUAAACCUCUUUCAGUACCGACGAAGCGAAAGUGACGGUAGGUACAGAAGAAGGACCGGCCAACUACGUGCCACCAGCCGCGGUAAUACGUAGGGUCCGAGCGUUGUCCGGAAUUAUUGGGCGUAAAGGGCUCGUAGGCGGUUUGUCGCGUCGGGAGUGAAAACAGCGGGCUUAACUCGUUGCUUGCUUUCUAUACGGGCAGACUACAGGUAUGCAGGGGAGAAUGGAAUUCCUGGUGUAGCGGUGAAAUGCUCAGAUAUCAAGAGGAACACCGGUGGCGAAAGCGGUUCUCUGGGCAUUACCUGACGCUGAGGAGCGAAAGUGUGGG
RNAcentral lists this ribosomal RNA (619 nucleotides) under uncultured bacterium. RNAcentral describes it as "bacterial SSU rRNA". It matches the Rfam family "Bacterial small subunit ribosomal RNA", at positions 132 to 765 of the family's 1533-position model. The record is from RNAcentral.